This 654-nucleotide ribosomal RNA is filed under the name uncultured bacterium. RNAcentral describes it as "bacterial SSU rRNA". It matches the Rfam family "Bacterial small subunit ribosomal RNA", at positions 8 to 671 of the family's 1533-position model. The record is from RNAcentral.
AGAGUUUGAUCCUGGCUCAGGAUGAACGCUAGCGGCAGGCCUAAUACAUGCAAGUCGAACGGUGAUAGCAAUAUCAUAGUGGCGCACGGGUGCGUAACACGUAUGCAACCUACCUUAUACUGAGGGAUAGCCUUUCGAAAGGGAGAUUAAUACCUCAUAACACAUUGAACUGGCAUCAGUUUAUUGUUAAAGAUUUAUUGGUAUAAGAUGGGCAUGCGUCCAAUUAGUUAGUUGGCGAGGUAACGGCUCACCAAGACGAUGAUUGGUAGGGGAACUGAGAGGUUAAUCCCCCACACUGGCACUGAGAUACGGGCCAGACUCCUACGGGAGGCAGCAGUAGGGAAUAUUGGGCAAUGGAGGCAACUCUGACCCAGCCAUGCCGCGUGCAGGAAGAAGGCGUUAUGCGUUGUAAACUGCUUUUAUAUAGGAAGAAAUAGACCUUGCGAGGUAAGUUGACGGUACUAUAUGAAUAAGCACCGGCUAACUCCGUGCCAGCAGCCGCGGUAAUACGGAGGGUGCAAGCGUUGUCCGGAUUUAUUGGGUUUAAAGGGUGCGUAGGCGGUUUAUUAAGUCAGUGGUGAAAGACGGCGCUCAACGAUUGCAGUGCCAUUGAUACUGGUAGACUUGAGUGGGAUUGAGGUAGCUGGAAUGGAU